UAGGGAAUCUCCACAAUGGGCGAAAGCCUGAUGGAGCAACGCCGCGUGUGUGAUGAAGGGUUUCGGCUCGUAAAACACUGUUGUAAGAGAAGAAUGACAUUGAGAGUAACUGUUCAAUGUGUGACGGUAUCUUACCAGAAAGGAACGGCUAAAUACGUGCCAG
RNAcentral lists this ribosomal RNA (163 nucleotides) under uncultured bacterium. RNAcentral's name for it is "partial 16S rRNA". It matches the Rfam family "Bacterial small subunit ribosomal RNA", at positions 355 to 511 of the family's 1533-position model. The record is from RNAcentral.